UACGGAGGGUGCAAGCGUUAUCCGGAUUCACUGGGUUUAAAGGGUGCGUAGGCGGGCAGGUAAGUCAGUGGUGAAAUCCCCGAGCUCAACUUGGGAAUUGCCGUUGAUACUAUCUGUCUUGAAUAUCGUGGAGGUGAGCGGAAUAUGUCAUGUAGCGGUGAAAUGCUUAGAUAUGACAUAGAACACCCAUUGCGAAGGCAGCUCACUACACGAUAAUUGACGCUGAGGCACGAAAGCGUGGGGAGCAAAC
This 250-nucleotide ribosomal RNA is filed under the name uncultured bacterium. RNAcentral describes it as "partial 16S ribosomal RNA". It matches the Rfam family "Bacterial small subunit ribosomal RNA", at positions 524 to 773 of the family's 1533-position model. The record is from RNAcentral.